Long non-coding RNA from Penaeus monodon (black tiger shrimp), 638 nucleotides. RefSeq lists it as uncharacterized. The transcript is spliced from 2 exons. The record is from RefSeq and is a predicted model, not a curated record. NCBI's taxonomy places the organism in Eukaryota, Metazoa, Arthropoda, Malacostraca, Decapoda, Penaeidae.
UUGACUUAACUGCAACAAGUAUAUCAAUGAUAUAAAAUUAUAUAAGCUUAUAUAUCAACCGGACCGGGCUCAGGACCCCAGCAUCGAGAGGGAGGAAAAUGCAAGGACCCGUCAAGAGAGAAUUCAAGAGCCUCCCUCCCCCCCGUGCCCUCCCCCCUUCCAACCACCGUCCGACAUUCCCCUUCCACCUCCUCACACGCCCCUGCCACGCCCUCAUCUUCCCCUGCCACUCCCUGCUGCGUCCCCGCAAGAGGACACACAAGGAGUUUAUUGCGAGAUGCUGCCCGUGAUGAAUGCGGCAUUGCCACCGCGUUCGUAUGCAGAGCAGGAGGAGGGAACUUUUGAGGAAACAAUCAACGACGAUUACGUCAGCGCAGACUUCUUCGGAUAGAUAAGGAAGCUGGCCUGUAACUGCUUUGGCUUCGGGAAGGACCGGGUCGUUCUUAUCAAGGCGACGAUUUAAUCAUGAGGUUUCUUAUCUCCAAGUUCCUUUGCUUAUGCAAGUGUCGCACGAAAUGGAAAUGAGCUGAUGUAGAUUAAAUUAUAUUGAUUGUAAUAUUAUCUUAAUCCUAAACAAUAUGGAAUUCUUACUUCGACUUGAAUCUUUAUAUUUAGAGUUGAAAUACAGUAUUCACCUC